This 147-nucleotide non-coding RNA is filed under the name Pan troglodytes (chimpanzee). The record is from Rfam by way of RNAcentral. Lineage: Eukaryota; Metazoa; Chordata; Mammalia; Primates; Hominidae.
GCCAGGUGUGGUGGCGCAUGCCUGUAAUCCCAGCUACUUGGGAGGCUGCGGCAGGAGAAUCACUUGAACCCAGGAGGAGGAGGUGCAGUGAGCCGAGAUUGUGCCACUGCACUCCAGCCUGGGUGACACAGUGAGACUCUGUCUCAA